Molecule: long non-coding RNA, 1669 nt
Organism: Pogona vitticeps (central bearded dragon)
Lineage: Eukaryota; Metazoa; Chordata; Lepidosauria; Squamata; Agamidae
Source: Ensembl
UCAAUGAUCUCUGGCAUUGUACUCGAUAGAAACAUUUCAGGUUUAAAACUUAAUUUCUGCUGAACAAUUUCUUUUGCUUUUUCGCAUGACCACCAUACAUGAUAAUAAGUCUCUGGAUAGAUAUUUUACAUUUCCAACAAACAUUACUGAGCACCAUACAUGAUAAUAAGUCUCUGGAUAUAUAUUUUACAUUUCCAACAAACAUUACUGAUCCCUUCUGACAUUUUUGCCAAUCUUACCACAGUAAAAUGCCAUCUAGGAAACAUUUUAAGGGUUUUCUCUAAGGUUAACUGGUUUAAUCAUCUUUCCACAUUUUUGUCCAUUCAUCAAUAUCAAUAUUAUAGCCAAAGUUUUGUGCCCAUUUGACCACCACCUCCUUCACCCUCUCAUCCUCUAGAUCAGUGGUCCCCAACCUUGCGCCUCCAGAUGUUCUUGGACUACAACUCCCAGAAGCCUUCACCACCACCUCUGCUGGCCAGGAUUUCUGGGAGUUGAAGUCCAAGAACAUCUGGAGGCCCAAGGUUGGAGACCACUGCUCUAGAUCAUACUCUAAUAGAUAUGUAUACACUUUUUGAUUGUUUUCUUUCAUGUAAAUCCAUAAUUCAUCCACCUGAACUUUCCCCUCAAAAAAGCCCAUAUUUUUGUGGUCAGGUCGGCGUUGCGAGCAAAGUUCACACCACAGUGCAAGCAGUGAUAGGGCUUCUCCACUGUGUGAACCCUCUGGUGCAUACUGAGAUUUGUCUUCUGGUUGAAGCUCUUUCCACACGGCUUCUCUCCCAUGUGGCUUCUCUGAUGAGAAACCAGAUUUGACUUCAGACGGAAGUGCUUCCCACAUUCUAAGCACGUGUGUGGUUUUCCCCCCUGGUGUGAAUCAUCUGAUGCUCUUUGAGGUGUGUCUUCUGCCUGAACCUCUUCCUGCAUGCCAAGCAUUCGUACGGCUUCUCCCCUGUGUGAACUCUUUGAUGUUUAUUGAAAUUUUGCUUUUCACUGAAGCUCUUCCCGCAAUCGGAGCACUGAUACGGCUUUUCUCCAGUGUGAACUCUUUGAUGGACAGUAAGGUCUGAUUUCUUCACAAAACCUUUCUCGCACUCAAGGCAUUUAUAGGGUUUCUCGCCUGUGUGAAUUUUUCGAUGGGUGCUCAGGUUGCUCCUGGCACUGAAGCUUUUCCCACACUGCAUACAUUUAUGCGGCUUCUCCCCUGUAUGAAUCCUUUGAUGAGAAGUGAGGUAUAUCUGCUGACUGAAGCAUUUCCCGCAUUCCAAACAUGGAUACGAUUCCUUCUCCAUGUGAAUUGCUUGAUGGGAAGCAAGUUGCACCUUCUGAUGGAACUUCUUCCCACACUCCAUGCAUGAAUAUGGCUUUUCCCCCGUGUGAAUUCUCUGGUGACAAGUGAGAUGUGACUUCUGACUAAAGCUCUUUCCACACUCGGAGCAUUUAUGUGGCUUCUUCCCCAUGUGUAUCUGUUGAUGUCUCGUGAGGAGUGUACGGUGGUGGAAGCUUUUUCCACAGGCCAAGCAGUUAUAGGGCUUCUCCUCGUUAUAAAGGCUUCGCUCAAUCCGACUGACGUCUGUUUCCUUUCCCUCUGUUGCAUUUUCAUACCCCUGUCGUUCUGUUGCGUUCUCCCAUCUGUCAUCAUCUGGAAAUAAAGACAAGACAUUGGCGGAGGUCA